This 2455-nucleotide ribosomal RNA is filed under the name human gut metagenome. RNAcentral's name for it is "bacterial LSU rRNA". It matches the Rfam family "Bacterial large subunit ribosomal RNA", at positions 3 to 2555 of the family's 2925-position model. The record is from RNAcentral.
UCAAGCUAAUAAGGGCGCAAGGGGAAUGCCUUGGCAUUGGAAGCCGAUGAAGGACGUAGCGAUCUACGAAAAGCCCCGGGGAGGCGAAAGCAGCCAUCGAUCCGAGGAUAUCCGAAUGGGGAAACCCGGCGGAGCAAUACUCCGUCAUCCUUUUGUGAAUCCAUAGCAACUGGAAGGGAACCGCCUGAACUGAAACAUCUAAGUAGGGCGAGGAAGAGAAAUCAACCGAGAUUCUGUGAGUAGUGGCGAGCGAAAGCGGAAGAGGCUAAACCAUAGGUAGCAAUACUUAUGGGGUUUCGGACAGCAUUUAGUAUUGAUAAUUUCUAGUUGAAACGUGUGGGAAAACGUACCGAAGAGUGUGAGAGUCACGUAAGCGAAAGAGAGAGUCAGCGAGCUGUAUCCAAAGUACCGCGGGACACGUGAAACCCCGUGGGAAGAUGGGGGGACCAUCCUCCAAGCCUAAAUACUACCUAAUGACCGAUAGCGAAUAGUACUGUGAAGGAACGGUGAAAAGAACCCCGGGAGGGGAGUGAAAAAGAACCUGAAACCCUAUGCUUACAAGCACCGAGAGCACGUCAAAGUGUGAUCGGGUACCUUUUGUAGAAUGGUCCGGCGAGUUAUUGUAUGCGGCAAGGUUAAGUGCUUAAGGCACGGAGCCGAAGCGAGAGCAAGUCUGAAUAGGGCGAAAAAGUCGUAUGCAAUAGACCCGAAACCGAGUGACCUAUCCAUGUCCAGGCUGAAGUGGAGGUAAAACUCCAUGGAGGGCCGAACACACGUCCGUUGAAAAGGCCGGUGAUGAGGUGUGGAUAGCGGAGAAAUUCCAAUCGAACUCGGAUAUAGCUGGUUCUCUCCGAAAUAGCUUUAGGGCUAGCCUCGUGAAAGAUUACUGGAGGUAAAGCACUGAAUGGGCUAGGGGUCGAAAGAUUACUGAACCCUAUCAAACUAAGAAUGCCAGAUAAUUGAUUCACGGGAGUCAGACAAUGUGAGAUAAGUCUCAUUGUCAAAAGGGAAACAGCCCAGACCCACAGCUAAGGUCCCUAAACAUUGUUAAGUGGAAAAGGAUGUGGGGUUGCAUAAACAACCAGGAUGUUGGCUUAGAAGCAGCCACUCAUUAAAAGAGUGCGUAAUAGCUCACUGGUCGAGUGACUCUGCGCCGAAAAUUUAACGGGGCUAAACUAUACACCGAAGCUUGGGAUACAUCUAAUGUAUGGUAGGAGAGCGUUCUGUAUGGGGAGAAGUCGUAGCGAAAGCGGCGGUGGACUAUACAGAAGUGAGAAUGCCGGAAUAAGUAGCGAGAAUUAAGUGAGAAUCUUAAUGGCCGAAAGUCUAAGGUUUUUGGAGGAAGGUUCGUCCGCUCCAAGUAAGUCGGGAGCUAAGGUCAGGCCGAAAGGCGUAGCCGAUGCACAUACGGUUGAUAUUCCGUAACCAUCUGUAAUUUAAGCAAAGGGACACUUCAAAAGGGUGUGACCCGGGCGUUGGUUGACCCGGGCGUAAGGGACCGAAAUUAGAGUAGGGAAGCACACUUAGCUGAAGGCGAGAAAAGCUUUGCGUAUAGAAACAGAUGCCCGUACCGCAAACCGACACAGGUGGACAGGAAGAGAAUUCUAAGGCCAGCGGGAGAAGGGUAGUUAAGGAACUCGGCAAAUUGACUCCGUAACUUCGGAAUAAGGAGUGCUCGAAAGAGCCGCAGAGAAUAGGCCCAGGCGACUGUUUAGCAAAAACACAGGUCUCUGCCAAAUCGAAAGAUGAAGUAUAGGGGCUGACACCUGCCCGGUGCCGGAAGGUUAAGAGGAGGAGUGAGAGCUCCGAAUUGAAGCCCCGGUAAACGGCGGCCGUAACUAUAACGGUCCUAAGGUAGCGAAAUUCCUUGUCGGGUAAGUUCCGACCCGCACGAAUGGUGUAACGACUUGUGAGCUGUCUCAACAGGGGGCCCGGUGAAAUUGAAGUAUGGGUGAAGAUGCCCAUUACCCGCGACUGGACGGAAAGACCCCGUAGAGCUUUACUGUAACCUGACAUUGGAUCUUGAUAACGGAUGCACAGGAUAGGUGGGACGCUGGGAGACGAGGACUUUGGUUUUCGUGGAGCGGCCGUUGGGAUACCACUCUUCUGUUAUUGAGAUUCUAACCUCAAGCCGUGAGCCGGAUGAGAGACAGUGUCAGGCGGACAGUUUGACUGGGGCGGUCGCCUCCGAAAGAGUAACGGAGGCGCCCAAAGGUACCCUCAGAAUGGAUGGAAACCAUUCGAAGAGAGCAAAGUCAGAAGGGUGCUUGACUGCGAGACCAACAAGUCGAGCAGGUACGAAAGUAGGGCUUAGUGAUCCGGCGGUAAGAGAGUGGAAUUGCCGUCGCUCAACGGAUAAAAGCUACCUCGGGGAUAACAGGCUGAUCUCCCCCAAGAGUUCACAUCGACGGGGAGGUUUGGCACCUCGAUGUCGGCUCAUCGCAUCCUGGGGCUG